Molecule: long non-coding RNA, 327 nt
Filed under: Medicago truncatula (barrel medic)
Lineage: Eukaryota; Viridiplantae; Streptophyta; Magnoliopsida; Fabales; Fabaceae
Description: long non-coding RNA (MTRU_LNC006770)
Source: RNAcentral
ACUUGUGCUCAUAGGGUGGAGGUGGUGGAGAUUUGUAAAUGUAAGAUGGUGGAGGUGACGGUGAGGGAGGCGGUGGUGACUUGUAAAUGUAAGGUGGUGGUGGUGAUGGUGAUGGUGGUGGGGGUGACUUGUACUGGUAAGAUGGAGCCUUGUGCUCAUAUGGUGGUGGAGGUGACGGUGAUGGAGGUGGUGGUGACUUGUAAAUGUAAGGUGGUGGAGGUGAUGGUGAUGGAGGUGGGGGUGACUUGUACUGGUAAGAUGGUGCCUUGUGCUCAUAUGGAGGCGGUGGUGACGGUGAUGGAGGCGGUGGUGACUUGUACACAUAAG